AUAGUGGAUAUCAUAGUGUCAUAGCUCUAUUUGAUCGUCUCCACCUAUACUCCAUCUACUCCUCAAUCUGUGCCUACACCUGCUACUCAAUCCCUACCUCCAUCUAAGCCUCGAGCAUAUGAAUAUCUAUAGUGCCAGAGCGCUCUUUAGCAUCUUGAGGUAUCGACGUACAUCAGAUAAGUGAGUGGAGGUGACUCCAACUCUAUAACUCCUCAUUGGACCA
RNAcentral lists this long non-coding RNA (223 nucleotides) under Elaeis guineensis (African oil palm). RNAcentral describes it as "long non-coding RNA (EGUI_LNC062910)". The record is from RNAcentral. Lineage: Eukaryota; Viridiplantae; Streptophyta; Magnoliopsida; Arecales; Arecaceae.